AUUCUGCACCAAAAAAAAAAAAAAAAAGAAAAAGAAAAGAAAAAAAGAAAGAAAAAAGAAAAGAGAUGGGUAUUGGAUGGCACCAAACUCCAGAUGACAUCAGGGAAACCAAACCUCUAAGCCACAGGUAACCUUUUUCACACCCUAGAGGACGAUGACAACAUGCAAAUGGGGUCAAGCUGAUACAAUCCUCCAGCUUAAAAGAAUAGCAGACCGUCUUGUGAGUGGAACUCCAAGAAAAUGACUGAUGUCGGAAGAGAGGUUUCAGAAGUCUAAGAGAGACCAUGCCAGAACCAACGAAACCCCAUAAAAUACACUGAAAAUAUCAUGGAAUAAAAUGUUAACACAGAGGCAGGACAAUGAGUUCUCAGCCAACAUGAGUUCUGAAGCAUCAUACUGGAAAACUGGCAUCCUUCAACAAACCAGCAGCCACGAAUGUAAAUGGAAGAGUAGAGAGGAAGCAACAGUCAGUGUGUCUGUCCCUGUACAAGGGAAGGAUUUCUGAACUCCUCGAGGAGCCAUGGCAGAGAGGAAUUACCAAUGUCAUUUUGAAAGAUACUCUCUUUACCGAAAGCCCAAAAGAAGACAGGGAAGUUUGAACUGACUUUGGCCUUGUGCUGAAAAACUACACAUAAUUGGGAAUUCAAGGAACUUACAAAACAGAUGCCAGAUUUCCUUUCAUCAGUAGUGUCAGUGAGCAGGCUAGGAACCGCAGAAGGAAGAGAGACAGCGGAGUCUCGAAGUACCCUCUCGCGCCUGUGUACAAGGGUGAUCUGCCUCUCGGCUUCCCUGUUCCCAAGCCCGGGCCUGCCGUCUGCUCGCUAGACCAGUGGGGGCUGCGGAGACACAGGAGGACCAGGAGGCAUGUGGACACAUGGAUGUUCUGCUGGGUGUCAGGAAUUUUGUCACCUUGGGUCAUGCACGUUCUGUGAUGACGGAGCCAGGCCUGCCGGCCCAAAGAGGCCCUAAAGCACUGUUCAUGUCCCACGAGAGCCACAUGAUCCGGCCUCUUUCCUCGAUGCCAUUUUCUACAGCUCAUCUGCAGGUGGGUCCCGAGUCAAAGCUCAAGUCUGGGUCUCAUCACACAGAUCCCAGCGGGCUGGGCCGUUCAAUGUUCAUGAUCCCCAGCCCCGCCGGUUUUGAAUGAGGUGGUUUGGGCUGGGAUGAUUUCUGUGUGAUGAUACUGAGUCAGGGCUGGAGGGAACCACUCAAGGAUGAAGUUACGACCACCCUCUCACCAUUCACCGGAAUUUGACUGCCGUGCUGGGCAAUCAGACCUUUGAAUCUUAAAAUUGUCAACAAUUUUUUAAAAGCAACGUUCUGUGCUACCUGUAUUGGAUCGGACUUCAUCCUUGGGUUUUUCCAGAGGACCAGCAGUGACGAGGAGGGAUCACAGAACAUUAGAAAUGGGAAGGACAGGGAUGCAUCUCUAGUCCCCAAUGAUAGCCCAUUGGGGACUGUCCCAACGUGACCAGGGGAUUUCAGUGGCUCUUGUGUUCACUAGAUACAGUUUCAGGGGGGGAGGGGGGCUCAUUAUUUCCUACAGCUCAGGGAUGACUCUGGUUCAUUAGCUGUGGGUUUCCAGUGUGUUCUCAACAAGGCUGAGCUGGAAGGAGUCCUCUGUUGGACGACUACUGUCUCCAACAGGGGAGGCUGUCUCUCGUGUGGACACUUGGUGUUUGGUACGGGAUGGUUCCUUCCACGAGAUGACCCUGGAAGUGCUCUGGAGGGAAGGGGGUGAAGCUGCACCAACCAUCCCUCCUCAGAUGGGGACAGUCACUUGGCCUCAGGGUCUCACUCAUCACCAGGCUGAAGUGGAAACUUGCAUGGACAGUUGAAUGGCCAACUGUGAACCCACUCAUUUGUUUUUCAGAUGGGGCAAAUGGGGGGGUAGAGAAUGAUAAAUGGGUAGAUUAUGACACGAGGGAGGGAACAC
Mustela erminea (ermine) is the source of this 1936-nucleotide long non-coding RNA. RefSeq lists it as uncharacterized. The record is from RefSeq and is a predicted model, not a curated record. The transcript is spliced from 4 exons. NCBI's taxonomy places the organism in Eukaryota, Metazoa, Chordata, Mammalia, Carnivora, Mustelidae.